CACGUAGGGUGCAAGCGUUGUCCGGAAUCAUUGGGCGUAAAGAGCUCGUAGGCGGCUUAGUAAGUCGGGUGUGAAAACCCCAGGCUCAACCUGGGGACGCCACCCGAUACUGCUAUAGCUAGAGUCCAGUAGGGGAGUGUGGAAUUCCCAGUGUAGCGGUGAAAUGCGCAGAUAUUGGGAGGAACACCGGUGGCGAAGGCGGCAUCCUGGACCAUUACUGACACUGAAUAGCGAAAGCCAGGGGAGCAAACGGG
Molecule: ribosomal RNA, 254 nt
Filed under: uncultured bacterium
Lineage: Bacteria
Description: partial 16S ribosomal RNA
Rfam family: Bacterial small subunit ribosomal RNA
Source: RNAcentral